AGUGAACGCUGGCGGUAGGCCUAACACAUGCAAGUCGAACGGCAGCACAGUAAGAGCUUGCUCUUACGGGUGGCGAGUGGCGGACGGGUGAGGAAUACAUCGGAAUCUACUUUUUCGUGGGGGAUAACGUAGGGAAACUUACGCUAAUACCGCAUACGACCUACAGGUGAAAGCAGGGGAUCUUCGGACCUUGCGCGAUUGAAUGAGCCGAUGCCGGAUUAGCUAGUUGGCGGGGUAAAGGCCCACCAAGGCGACGAUCCGUAGCUGGUCUGAGAGGAUGAUCAGCCACACUGGAACUGAGACACGGUCCAGACUCCUACGGGAGGCAGCAGUGGGGAAUAUUGGACAAUGGGCGCAAGCCUGAUCCAGCCAUACCGCGUGGGUGAAGAAGGCCUUCGGGUUGUAAAGCCCUUUUGUUGGGAAAGAAAAGCAGCAGGUUAAUACCCCGCUGUUCUGACGGUACCCAAAGAAUAAGCACCGGCUAACUUCGUG
This 492-nucleotide ribosomal RNA is filed under the name uncultured bacterium. Its description in RNAcentral is "partial 16S ribosomal RNA". It matches the Rfam family "Bacterial small subunit ribosomal RNA", at positions 29 to 507 of the family's 1533-position model. The record is from RNAcentral.